GAGGGGCUGCGGCCCAUCAGCUAGUUGGUGGGGUAAUGGCCCACCAAAGCGAUGACGGGUAGGGGGCUGAGAGGGUGGCCCCCCACAUGGGGACUGAGACACGGCCCCGACUCCUACGGGAGGCAGCAGUGGGGAAUCUUGGGCAAUGGGCGAAAGUCUGACCCAGCAACGCCGCGUGCGGGAAGAAGCCCUUCGGGGUGUAAACCGCUUUUCUGGGGGAAGAACCAGGUGGGGAGGAAAUGCCCCGCCCCUGACGGUACCCCAGGAAUAAGGGACGGCUAACUACGUGCCAGCAGCCGCGGUAAGACGUAGGUCCCGAGCGUUGCCCGGAUUUACUGGGCGUAAAGUGCGCGUAGGCGGUUCGGCAAGUCGCCCGUGAAAGCCCGGGGCUCAACUCCGGGAGGCCGGGCGAUACUGCCGGGCUAGAGGACGGCAGAGGAGGGUGGAGCGACCGGAGUAGCGGUGAAAUGCGUAGAUACCGGUCGAAAUCCCGAUGGCGAAGGCAACCCUCUGGGCCGGCCCUGACGCUGAGGCGCGAAAGCGUGGGGAGCGAACCGGAUUAGAUACCCGGGUAGUCCACGCCCUAAACGAUGCGGGCUAGGUGUUGGUCCGGACCUGGACCGGUGCCGCAGCUAACGCGUUAAGCCCGCCGCCUGGGCAGUACGGCCGCAAGGCUGAAACUCAAGGGAAUUGACGGGGUCCCACACAAGCGGUGGAGCAUGUGGUUUAAUUCGAUGCUAAACGAAGAACCUUACCCGGGCUUGACAUGCAGGUGGUACCGCCCCGAAAGGGAAGGGACCCCGGGCCGAAAGGCGCCGGGGAGCCUGCACAGGUGCUGCAUGGCUGUCGUCAGCUCGUGCCGUGGGGUGUUGGGUUAAGUCCCGGAACGAGCGCAACCCUUGCCACCAGUUGCCAGCGGGCCCUGCGGGGCGCCGGGGACUCUGGUGGGACUGCCGGGGAAUACCCGGAGGAAGGAGGGGAUGACGUCAAGUCCUCAUGGCCCUUAUGCCCGGGGCGACACACAUGCUACAGUGCCCGGUACAAUGGGACGCCAAGGGGCAACCCGGAGCCAAUCCCACCAAAGCCGGGCAUGGUUCGGAUUGCAGGCUGCAACCCGCCUGCAUGAAGA
RNAcentral lists this ribosomal RNA (1129 nucleotides) under uncultured bacterium. RNAcentral describes it as "bacterial SSU rRNA". It matches the Rfam family "Bacterial small subunit ribosomal RNA", at positions 225 to 1326 of the family's 1533-position model. The record is from RNAcentral.